GACGAACGCUGGCGGCGUGCUUAACACAUGCAAGUCGAACGGAAAGGCCCUGCUUUUGUGGGGUGCUCGAGUGGCGAACGGGUGAGUAACACGUGAGUAACCUGCCCUUGACUUUGGGAUAACUUCUGGAAACUGGGGCGAAUACCGGAUAGGAGAUCUUGCUGCAUGGUGGGGGUUGGAGAGUUUCGGCGGUUGGGGAUGGACUCGCGGGUUAUCAGCUGGUUGGUGGGGUAGUGGUUUAACAAGGCUUUGACGGGUAGCCGGCCUGGGAGGGUGACCGGCCACAAUGGUACUGAGAUACGGCCCAGACUCCUACGUGAGGCAGCAGUGGGGAAUAUUGCACAACGGGCGGAAGCCUGAUACAGCAACGCCGCGUGCGGGAUGACGGCCUUCGAGUUGUAAACCGCUGUCGCCUGUGACGAAGCGUGAUUGACGGUAAUGAGUAAAGAAGCACCGGCUAACUACGUG
This 468-nucleotide ribosomal RNA is filed under the name uncultured bacterium. Its description in RNAcentral is "partial 16S ribosomal RNA". It matches the Rfam family "Bacterial small subunit ribosomal RNA", at positions 28 to 507 of the family's 1533-position model. The record is from RNAcentral.